GACGAACGCUGGCGGCGUGCUUAACACAUGCAAGUCGAACGGAAAGGCCCUGCUUUUGUGGGGUGCUCGAGUGGCGAACGGGUGAGUAACACGUGAGUAACCUGCCCUUGACUUUGGGAUAACUUCAGGAAACUGGGGCUCAUACCGGAUAGGAGCUCCUGCUGCAUGGUGGGGGUUGGAAAGUUUCGGCGGUUGGGGAUGGACUCGCGGCUUAUCAGCUUGUUUGUGGGGUAGUGGCUUACCAAGGCUUUGACGGGUAGCCGGCCUGAGAGGGUGACCGGCCACAUUGGGACUGAGAUACGGCCCAGACUCCUACGGGAGGCAGCAGUGGGGAAUAUUGCACAAUGGGCGGAAGCCUGAUGCAGCAACGCCGCGUGCGGGAUGACGGCCUUCGGGUUGUAAACCGCUUUCGCCUGUGACGAAGCGUGAGUGACGGUAAUGGGUAAAGAAGCACCGGCUAACUACGUG
Molecule: ribosomal RNA, 468 nt
Filed under: uncultured bacterium
Lineage: Bacteria
Description: partial 16S ribosomal RNA
Rfam family: Bacterial small subunit ribosomal RNA
Source: RNAcentral